GAAGGGCAUCCUCUUGGGAUUAAAGGAGCGAUCCGGCUGCGGAUGGUCAUGCGGCGCAUUAGCUUGUUGGCGGGGUAACGGCCCACCAAGGCGACGAUGCGUAGGGGUUCUGAGAGGAAGGUCCCCCACACUGGUACUGAGACACGGACCAGACUCCUACAGGAGGCAGCAGUGAGGAAUAUUGGUCAAUGGCCGGGAGGCUGAACCAGCCAAGUCGCGUGAGGGAAGACGGCCCUACGGGUUGUAAACCUCUUUUGCCGGGGAGCAAAUGGCGGGACGCGUCCCGCGUCGAGAGUACCCGGAGAAAAAGCAUCGGCUAACUCCGUGCCAGCAGCCGCGGUAAUACGGAGGAUGCGAGCGUUAUCCGGAUUUAUUGGGUUUAAAGGGUGCGCAGGCGGGAUGUCAAGUCAGCGGUAAAAUCGGGAGGCUCAACCUCUCUCAGCCGUUGAAACUGGCGUUCUUGAGUGGGCGAGAAGUAUGCGGAAUGCGUGGUGUAGCGGUGAAAUGCAUAGAUAUCACGCAGAACCCCGAUUGCGAAGGCAGCAUACCGGCGCCCGACUGACGCUCAUGCACGAAAGCGUGGGUAUCGAACAGGAUUAGAUACCCUGGUAGUCCACGCAGUAAACGAUGAAUACUCGCUGUGCGGC
RNAcentral lists this ribosomal RNA (647 nucleotides) under uncultured bacterium. Its description in RNAcentral is "bacterial SSU rRNA". It matches the Rfam family "Bacterial small subunit ribosomal RNA", at positions 182 to 828 of the family's 1533-position model. The record is from RNAcentral.